Molecule: ribosomal RNA, 301 nt
Filed under: uncultured bacterium
Lineage: Bacteria
Description: partial 16S ribosomal RNA
Rfam family: Bacterial small subunit ribosomal RNA
Source: RNAcentral
CAGUAGCCGCGGGAAUACGAAGGGUGCAAGCGUUACUCGGAAUUACUGGGCGUAAAGCGUGCGUAGGUGGUGGUUUAAGUCCGUUGUGAAAGCCCUGGGCUCAACCUGGGAAUCGCAGUGGAUACUGGGUCACUAGAGUGUGGUAGAGGAUAGUGGAAUUUCCGGUGUAGCAGUGAAAUGCGUAGAGAUCGGAAGGAACAUCUGUGGCGAAGGCGACUAUCUGGGCCAACACUGACACUGAGGCACGAAAGCGUGGGGAGCAAACAGGAUUAGAUACCCCCGUAGUCCCUGUCUCUUAUAC